RNAcentral lists this ribosomal RNA (428 nucleotides) under uncultured prokaryote. Its description in RNAcentral is "bacterial SSU rRNA". It matches the Rfam family "Bacterial small subunit ribosomal RNA", at positions 355 to 774 of the family's 1533-position model. The record is from RNAcentral.
UGAGGAAUUUUGCGCAAUGGGAGCAAUCCUGACGCAGCAACGCCGCGUGGGUGAUGAAGGCCUUCGGGUCGUAAAGCCCUGUCAGGAGGGAAGAAUGUCCCGAGAGCGAACAGGUUUUGGUAGUGACGGUACCACCAGAGGAAGCACCGGCUAACUCCGUGCCAGCAGCCGCGGUAAUACGGAGGGUGCAAGCGUUAUUCGGAAUUACUGGGCGUAAAGCGCGUGUAGGCGGUCCUGUAAGUCUGAUGUGAAAGCCCCGGGCUUAGCCUGGGAAGUGCAUUGGAAACUGGGGGACUUGAGUACGGGAGAGGAGGGUGGAAUUCCCGGUGUAGGAGUGAAAUCCGUAGAGAUUAGGAGGAACAUCGGUGGCGAAGGCGGCUAUCUGGACCGUAACUGACGCUGAGACGCGAAAGCGUGGGGAGCAAACA